This 180-nucleotide ribosomal RNA is filed under the name uncultured bacterium. RNAcentral's name for it is "partial 16S ribosomal RNA". It matches the Rfam family "Bacterial small subunit ribosomal RNA", at positions 1323 to 1500 of the family's 1533-position model. The record is from RNAcentral.
AAGCUGGAAUCGCUAGUAAUCGCGGAUCAGAAUGCCGCGGUGAAUACGUUCCCGGGUCUUGUACACACCGCCCGUCACACCAUGGGAGUCGGAAAUGCCCGAAGUCUGUGACCCAACCUGCAAGGGAGGGAGCAGCCGAAGGCAGGUCGGAUGACUGGGGUGAAGUCGUAACAAGGUACC